Molecule: ribosomal RNA, 491 nt
Filed under: Pseudomonas putida
Lineage: Bacteria; Pseudomonadati; Pseudomonadota; Gammaproteobacteria; Pseudomonadales; Pseudomonadaceae
Description: bacterial SSU rRNA
Rfam family: Bacterial small subunit ribosomal RNA
Source: RNAcentral
AGAGUUUGAUCCUGGCUCAGAUUGAACGCUGGCGGCAGGCCUAACACAUGCAAGUCGAGCGGAUGANGGGAGCUUGCUCCUUGAUUCAGCGGCGGACGGGUGAGUAAUGCCUAGGAAUCUGCCUGGUAGUGGGGGACAACGUUUCGAAAGGAACGCUAAUACCGCAUACGUCCUACGGGAGAAAGCAGGGGACCUUCGGGCCUUGCGCUAUCAGAUGAGCCUAGGUCGGAUUAGCUAGUUGGUGGGGUAAUGGCUCACCAAGGCGACGAUCCGUAACUGGUCUGAGAGGAUGAUCAGUCACACUGGAACUGAGACACGGUCCAGACUCCUACGGGAGGCAGCAGUGGGGAAUAUUGGACAAUGGGCGAAAGCCUGAUCCAGCCAUGCCGCGUGUGUGAAGAAGGUCUUCGGAUUGUAAAGCACUUUAAGUUGGGAGGAAGGGCAGUAAGUUAAUACCUUGCUGUUUUGACGUUACCNACAGAAUAAGCACG